UCGCCUGUUUAUCAAAAACAUCUUUUCUUGUUAGUUUUUGAAGUAUGGCCUGCCCACUGACUGUUAAAGUUGAAGGGCCGCGGUAUUUUGACCGUGCAAAGGUAGCAUAAUCAUUAGUUCUUUAAUUGUGAUCUGGUAUGAAUGGCUUGACGAGACAUAAGCUGUCUUAGAGGUAUUGGUUUAUUGAAUUUGGUUUUUGAGUUAAAAUUCUUAAAUGUUUUUAUGGGACGAGAAGACCCUAUAGAGUUUGACAAUUUUCUUAUUUGUUCGUUGUUUGUUUUUGUUACAUUAAGUGGGAAUAGAUUGUUUUGUUGGGGUGAUGGGAGGAAUAUUAUUUAACUCCUCUUUGUUUUUGUAUAUUUAUUUAUAUUUUUUUGAUCCAUUUAUUUUGAUUAUAAGAUUAAAUUACCUUAGGGAUAACAGCGUAAA
RNAcentral lists this ribosomal RNA (429 nucleotides) under Cortaritermes silvestrii. Its description in RNAcentral is "partial 16S ribosomal RNA". The stretch from base 1 to 214 matches the Rfam family "Archaeal large subunit ribosomal RNA", at positions 1888 to 2143 of the family's 2987-position model. Lineage: Eukaryota; Metazoa; Arthropoda; Insecta; Blattodea; Termitidae. The record is from RNAcentral.